RNAcentral lists this ribosomal RNA (706 nucleotides) under Edwardsiella sp. (in: enterobacteria). Its description in RNAcentral is "bacterial SSU rRNA". It matches the Rfam family "Bacterial small subunit ribosomal RNA", at positions 798 to 1505 of the family's 1533-position model. The record is from RNAcentral. Lineage: Bacteria; Pseudomonadati; Pseudomonadota; Gammaproteobacteria; Enterobacterales; Hafniaceae.
CCCGUUCUACGAUGUCGAUUUGGAGGUUGUGCCCUUGAGGCGUGGCUUCCGAAGCUAACGCGUUAAAUCGACCGCCUGGGGAGUACGGCCGCAAGGUUAAAACUCAAAUGAAUUGACGGGGGCCCGCACAAGCGGUGGAGCAUGUGGUUUAAUUCGAUGCAACGCGAAGAACCUUACCUACUCUUGACAUCCAGCGAAUCCUGUAGAGAUACGGGAGUGCCUUCGGGAACGCUGAGACAGGUGCUGCAUGGCUGUCGUCAGCUCGUGUUGUGAAAUGUUGGGUUAAGUCCCGCAACGAGCGCAACCCUUAUCCUUUGUUGCCAGCGGUUCGGCCGGGAACUCAAAGGAGACUGCCAGUGAUAAACUGGAGGAAGGUGGGGAUGACGUCAAGUCAUCAUGGCCCUUACGAGUAGGGCUACACACGUGCUACAAUGGCGUAUACAAAGAGAAGCGAACUCGCGAGAGCAAGCGGACCUCAUAAAGUACGUCGUAGUCCGGAUUGGAGUCUGCAACUCGACUCCAUGAAGUCGGAAUCGCUAGUAAUCGUGGAUCAGAAUGCCACGGUGAAUACGUUCCCGGGCCUUGUACACACCGCCCGUCACACCAUGGGAGUGGGUUGCAAAAGAAGUAGGUAGCUUAACCUUCGGGAGGGCGCUUACCACUUUGUGAUUCAUGACUGGGGUGAAGUCGUAAAAGGAGAACACAA